CGUGGCUCCAGCGCGCGCCCCACGGGGGCGGGGGAGAACCGGGACGCGGCGCCGCUUCUCAUUGGCUCUAUCCUUGGCCUUAGGUGUGACUAUGUUGAGGUGGCCGUGCUUUGAGGAAACCCAACUGAUGGACAGAGGUUGUGUAGGCAUUACAGUUGACAAUCCCUGCGGAGCUCAUCCUUUGAGUUUUCUCAGCCCUGAUGCCAGAUUGUAAGUGAAGAAGUUCUAAAGGAUUCUAUCUCACAACUUUCAAGUCAAGUCACCUUUUUAGGCUUUCCAAAUCCUAUAGAGAAGAGACCAACUCUCCCCAGCUGUGUCCUGUCCAAAUUUCUGACUCAAGAUCC
Molecule: long non-coding RNA, 344 nt
Organism: Heterocephalus glaber (naked mole-rat)
Lineage: Eukaryota; Metazoa; Chordata; Mammalia; Rodentia; Bathyergidae
Source: Ensembl